Molecule: ribosomal RNA, 411 nt
Filed under: Sicyonia laevigata
Lineage: Eukaryota; Metazoa; Arthropoda; Malacostraca; Decapoda; Sicyoniidae
Description: partial 12S ribosomal RNA
Rfam family: Microsporidia small subunit ribosomal RNA (bases 56-411)
Source: RNAcentral
UUGAAACCAGGGAUUAGAUACCCUGCUACGCCUUUCUAUAAAUAAACAAUUACCUGGGUAGUAAAAAGUUAUUAGCUCGAAACUCAAAGAAUUUGGCGGUAGCUUAGUCUAGUUAGAGGAACCUGUCCUGUAAUCGAUACAACACGCAGAAUCUUGCUUUACUUUGUAUAGACAGCUUGUAUACCGUUAUUAUUAGAUAACCUCAUAAGAGUUUCAGUUAUUAAAAUAGCUUUAGCUAAUAUAUUAGAUCAAGGUGCAGCUAAUAGUAAAGAAGAGAUGGGUUACAAUAAUGCUUGGUUAAAUGGAUUUAAAAAAGAACAGUUUUUAAUGAAAUCGGAUUUAAAAGUAAUAAAAUUUUAAUAAGGUUUUAUGAUUAUAGCUCUAUGCUAUGUACAUAUCGGCCCGUCGCUA